Molecule: long non-coding RNA, 1395 nt
Organism: Pseudopipra pipra
Lineage: Eukaryota; Metazoa; Chordata; Aves; Passeriformes; Pipridae
Exons: 3
Source: RefSeq, a predicted model, not a curated record
CCCAGGGAGAAAGAUUGCUCUGCUAGCUGUUAUUGAAACAGUAAUAAACUUGUUGCAUAGAAGACUUCGUAUGUUUAUUUUCUGGAGUGCAACAAGAUCCUGGCGAGUCUAUGUUUUGUGUCAUUGAGAAUCUAAAGAGGAAAGGAUGCACCUCUUAAUGUUUAACUGAAAAGCUCUCUGGCUGUGAAAAUGAGAAGAGCCUUGGUGCUGCACUGUGGAUUAAUUGUGCAGAGUGCCCUGAGCAUCGCUGCCUCCAAAGCAAGAGCUGUGUAAUAAUGUUUGCUUUUGCAGGAUACCAGCACAUCUGUCAGGCAGGCACAAGUAGAGGAAUGAGAGUGCGUGUGACCCUUGGACAUGCCAGCGUGGGGGCCACCUUCAGAUCCGCCCAGACCACACGGGGCUGUACACUAGUGCCUGGCAACAGAUAACAGGUAACCACACAAGUGCAGCCAGCUCAGAAGCAAUAUCAGCCACCCCUGAAGGAGUUAAUCAGCCUGUUUUGGAGGCCCCAGGAGGAGUGCCAUGGAGCUGAUGCAGUUUUGGUCAGGCUAGUCAUGGCUUAAAAAUACUGGAAGAUGUUGGUGAUGGGUGGACCUCAGUGCCCAGACUUGCAGGCAUUUAUCCACCUGCUUAGCACUAUUAAAUCUCUUCAGUUGAAGCAGGACUGAACAAUCAAUUUGAAAACUUCAAGCAAGAUUAGAGUGUAAAAACAGAGCCCAGGAAGAAAUCAGCAUCAUUCUCUGAGAAGUAAAAUGCUGAGUUCCAGAUAGCAUUAGUAGAGCAGAGAAAAAGUGCUGGCAGAAUGAGAACUGCUCAGGAUGAGUUUCACGUGUGUGCCCCGUGCAACCCAGCACAGGCAGCCUCUGCUAUCCAGAAUUUGAUUCUAUGUGCCCAGCCUAAGCUGCUGCCUUAUAAGAUUAAGCACCAAAAUUCUACUGGACUUAGUAGAGGAGCAUUGUUUCCUCUCUGUUCCGGAAAAUCCAGCCCUCAAGGAAAUGUUCUUCAGCUAAUAACAGACACCUGGAUUCAGAUACUCAGUAUGUGAAUUCAUAAAAAAAAAAAUGCAAAAAAAAGCCCAAAACAAAACAAAACAAAAACCCAAGGGCCACACUUAAUUACGUUUUCUUGUAUAAGGUUAUUAGUAUUUGAGGUGACAAACAGGAGAGAACUUUCCCUGAGCUGGGGCUGGAGGGAGAGAAACCAGCUAAGUUGAGCUAUGUGUUCACAUCCACCCAAAGUCUGACAAAGAGCUUGUGGUGCAAAGUCCCCUUUAAUUGUAAUUUGCAUGGCAAGAAAUUAAGGGUUUUCAUGCCUUAAGGCUUCUUCAUUGUUAGAGGGUGUAAGAAAGCCCAACCCUGCUGGUCUUACUUUAACAAGUAAGACCAGCAGGGUUGG